Molecule: non-coding RNA, 28 nt
Filed under: Bombyx mori (domestic silkworm)
Lineage: Eukaryota; Metazoa; Arthropoda; Insecta; Lepidoptera; Bombycidae
Source: RNAcentral
GAGAUCGAAAAUGGACUCAGGCUAAUGG